RNAcentral lists this ribosomal RNA (512 nucleotides) under uncultured Acidobacteriaceae bacterium. Its description in RNAcentral is "bacterial SSU rRNA". It matches the Rfam family "Bacterial small subunit ribosomal RNA", at positions 8 to 492 of the family's 1533-position model. Lineage: Bacteria; Pseudomonadati; Acidobacteriota; Terriglobia; Terriglobales; Acidobacteriaceae. The record is from RNAcentral.
AGAGUUUGAUCAUGGCUCAGAAUCAACGCUGGCGGCGUGCCUAACACAUGCAAGUCGAACGCGAAAGGGGCUUCGGCCCUGAGUAGAGUGGCGAACGGGUGAGUAACACGUGGGUGAUCUACCUUCGAGUGGGGGAUAACGUUCCGAAAGGAGCGCUAAAACCGCAUGACGUUCCGGGUUUGAAGACCGGGAAACCAAAGUCGGGGCCCUUAGGGAAACUUAAGGCCUGACGCUCGGAGAGGAGCCCGCGCCUGAUUAGCUAGUUGGUGGGGUAACGGCUCACCAAGGCGACGAUCAGUAGCCGGCCUGAGAGGGCGGACGGCCACACUGGGACUGAGACACGGCCCAGACUCCUACGGGAGGCAGCAGUGGGGAAUUGUUCGCAAUGGGCGCAAGCCUGACGACGCAACGCCGCGUGGAGGAUGAAGGUCUUCGGAUUGUAAACUCCUGUUGACCGGGAAGAACGGGUCUCGAGCGAAUAGCUCGGGACAGUGACGGUACCGGUGAGAGCC